This 301-nucleotide ribosomal RNA is filed under the name uncultured bacterium. Its description in RNAcentral is "partial 16S ribosomal RNA". It matches the Rfam family "Bacterial small subunit ribosomal RNA", at positions 509 to 808 of the family's 1533-position model. The record is from RNAcentral.
CAGUAGCCGCGGUAAUACGUAGGUCCCGAGCGUUGUCCGGAUUUAUUGGGCGUAAAGCGAGCGCAGGCGGUUAGAAAAGUCUGAAGUGAAAGGCAGUGGCUCAACCAUUGUAGGCUUUGGAAACUGUUUAACUUGAGUGCAGAAGGGGAGAGUGGAAUUCCAUGUGUAGCGGUGAAAUGCGUAGAUAUAUGGAGGAACACCGGUGGCGAAAGCGGCUCUCUGGUCUGUAACUGACGCUGAGGCUCGAAAGCGUGGGGAGCGAACAGGAUUAGAUACCCCCGUAGUCCCUGUCUCUUAUACA